GUGCUUGCUUUAGCAGCACAUAUACUAAAAUUGAAAUGAUACAGAGAAGAUUAGCAUGACCCCUCUGCAAUGAAGACAAGCCAAUUCUUGAAGCAUAUUUUU
Nycticebus coucang (slow loris) is the source of this 102-nucleotide small nuclear RNA. The record is from RefSeq and is a predicted model, not a curated record. Lineage: Eukaryota; Metazoa; Chordata; Mammalia; Primates; Lorisidae.